UAGGGAAUCUUCGGCAAUGGACGAAAGUCUGACCGAGCAACGCCGCGUGAGUGAAGAAGGUUUUCGGAUCGUAAAACUCUGUUGUUAGAGAAGAACAAGGACGUUAGUAACUGAACGUCCCCUGACGGUAUCUAACCAGAAAGCCACGGCUAACUACGUGCCAGCAGCCGCGGUAAUACGUAGGUGGCAAGCGUUGUCCGGAAUUACUGGGCGUAAAGCGCACGCAGGCGGUUUGUUAAGUCAGAUGUGAAAUCCCCGGGCUCAACCUGGGAACUGCAUCUGAUACUGGCAAGCUUGAGUCUCGUAGAGGGGGGUAGAAUUCCAGGUGUAGCGGUGAAAUGCGUAGAGAUCUGGAGGAAUACCGGUGGCGAAGGCGGCCCCCUGGACGAAGACUGACGCUCAGGUGCGAAAGCGUGGGGAGCAAACAGG
RNAcentral lists this ribosomal RNA (429 nucleotides) under Chloroflexota bacterium. RNAcentral's name for it is "Chloroflexi bacterium partial 16S ribosomal RNA". It matches the Rfam family "Bacterial small subunit ribosomal RNA", at positions 355 to 776 of the family's 1533-position model. The record is from RNAcentral. Lineage: Bacteria; Bacillati; Chloroflexota.